This 4969-nucleotide unclassified non-coding RNA is filed under the name Eurytemora carolleeae. Its description in RNAcentral is "formin-2". Lineage: Eukaryota; Metazoa; Arthropoda; Copepoda; Calanoida; Temoridae. The record is from RNAcentral.
AGAAAGUCAAGAAAAUCAAGAAAAUCAAGAAAACCAAGAAAAUCAAGAUAAUCAAGAUAAUCAAGAAAGUCUAGAGAAUCAAGUAAAAUUAGACAAUCAUCAAAAGUCCGGGUCUCAAAAUACUCAAAGAAAUAGAUUUGAUCCAGAUUUUCAGUUUGAAGAAGACCAGAGCGUUGUGUCUGCCCAGAUCGUUCCUCCAAAAGAAGGCGCCAUUUUUAGACAAGAUGCUGCAGUUCUGGAGCAAAAUGUCAAAGAUUUGAAUCAAGAUGGCGACGUUUUCAAUCAAGAUGGAGUCUCUUUGGAACAAGAAUGUGGUGAAAGUGAUCCACAGUCGCCAAACGAUAUUACAACUACUUAUAACUCUAAACCAGAAUCCCCAGAAUUACAGGACUUUAAGAAUCUCAAGAUUAGUAAUGUAUCUACACCUGUACACUCCAUCAAGGAUAUUCCUGAUAUUAGCAAAAGAGAUUUAUCCAACGAUACUAAUCUCUCUCAAGAUAUUAAUGACAUAAACCCACGUGAAAUAUCCAGUAGUGCACCAAAUCCAACCGUAUUUCUGGAACCGCAACGCAAUCUACUGCAACCAAUUCAUGAUAGAACAAUAUAUGGGGAUAUGAGCGAGUAUUCAGAUUCGUCCCAACUGGAUCCUAAUGUGACAGUGUUUGAUGAGAACAAGGAUAUAGGAAGACAAUACAAUAGAUCAGUUUCGGAGCCACCUGUGCGACCAACACUCCUUGAAGGAUUGGUAAUUGGCCAGCCAUGUGAACCGGAAGUCGGAAUUGUCAGACCGGAAGUUGUCGAGGAGAAACAUGGGGGAGGGGAAGAGAAAGACAGAUUGGGUCCCUUGCUCGGGUCUAAUCAGAGCUUGGCUAGUCAGGAUUCCAGGCACAGCAGAAUGAGUCCGAAUCUGCUUAGAGCUCCAAUGGUCAGAGGAGGGAGGCAGAGUACAGAGAGUUUGCAAGGCUCUGGAGCAUCACCGAACCUUGGGAAGUUCGGCUCCACAGAGUUCAUAUUCUCCGUAAACAAACACAAGAAGGUUGAUCUUGGAAACUUUAAAAGAUUAUCCCAAGGAGAUGAGCUUGAAACUGGAGAUUCCAACGUGUUGAGAAAAGCAGCUUCAUUGGCACAGGUUGACCAGGGGAUAAGGAGUCCUAGUCAGAAGCAGGGAAAAGAUCGAACCAUCUCUCUCUCGGAGAAGGAAAGAAAGUUUUCCCUCCCAGAGAAGGAACGGAUAUUGGAGGAGAGGAAGGGGAGCCUGGAGAAGGAGAGAAGGAUGGAUGAGGAGAAGGUGGAGGGAAGGAGGUUGGUUUCCUCCUUCAACUCCUUGAUCAAUGAGGAUAAUUGUCUCAGAUUGGCGCUCACUAGUCAGGAUUUCAACUACAUUUCUGUUAAAUUUAUCGAUCAUCUUCUUACCAUUGGUGUGCUUCACUCGUUACAAAACUUUACUCACUUUAAGGAAGAGGGAGUAUACUGUUGGAAUAAAGGUAAUCCUAAAAAGGGAGGAUGGAGAUCCAGCUUAGGACAAGAAUCUGAGGAAAUAACAAGGUCUGGAGCUAAAUAUACAGAAGCAGAACAUCAACAAGCUCUGAUGGGUCUGAAAAGAGAAAAUAGAGAAAGUCUUGAACAAAUGAGGAAAGAACAAGAUGAAGCAAUUUUCAAGGUAAGAGGUGAGCAAGCAGAAAGCAUGGUUUACUACAUGGAGAAAAUUCAAGAGCUUGAAACAGAGAUUGGUAGGCUUAGAAGUCUCAGGUCAUCUGAUAAACUUGACAAGAAGGAUAGUUUAGCUAAAGAAACUGACAAGGAUGUAAAGAAGGACACUAAGCCACCUCUUACAAACUCUGCUGGUAAAGUAAAGGAACUUGUCAGUAGAGAGAAGGAAGAUUUGGAUGAGAUCAUUCUGACUAAGACAAGGCUUGAGAAGGGAAUUCAAGUUGAUCUAGAUGAGAGGCCUCCUCCCCCUAGUCCUGUGAAAACUGUAAGUAAGGGAAUUCAGGUUUCUCUUGAGAGCCCUGCAACUCCUCCCUUUGCCACACCCAUGGAGGAGAACAGAUCUAUUGUUUCUCCUGGUAAAAGUCCUCCUGCAUAUAGAAACCCUCCACCCCCUCCUCCACCUAUGCCUGGAAUGUCCGCACCACCACCACCUCCACCUAUGCCAGGAAUGCCAUCACCACCACCACCUCCACCUAUGCCAGGAAUGCCAGCACCACCACCUCCAAUGCAAGGAAUGGCUGGCCCGCCUCCUCCACCACCUAUGCCUGGUAUGGUAGGGCCACCCCCUCCUCCACUGAUGCCAGGAAUGGCUGGUCCUCCCCCUCCCCCGCCAAUGCCAGGGAUGGGGGGACCACCUCCCCCUCCUCCGAUGCCUGGCAUGGGAGGACCACCCCCUCCUCCAAUGCCUGGUAUGGGAGGACCACCUUCACCCCCUCCCUUUCCUGGAAUUGGUGGGCCACCACCUCCUCCUAUGAUGCCUGGAAUGGGGGGGCCACCACCUCCUCCUAUGAUGCCUGGAAUGGGGGGGCCACCACCACCACCUAUGAUGCCGGGAAUGGGUGGACCCCCACCUCCUCCAAUGUUUGGAAUGGGCCCACCUGUUCCAGUUAAAGUGGGACCAAGGAAGCCAGAGAUAAAGCCGAAAUCCCAGAUGAAACCUUUGUACUGGACUAGAAUCCAGAUGACAGCAAAUCAGUAUCCUGCCCCUUCAACACCAAACACAAAGAUAUUAUGGGAAGAAUUGAAAGAAGUUGAGAUGGAAAUGGAAGAUUUUGAUGAUUUGUUCUCUAAAGCAACAGUGAAACCUAGAGAAAAGAAGGAAACGAUCGUUGAAGAAAAACCAAGUAAGGCAAAGCCUAAAACUAUGCUGGAUUCUAAAAGAACCCAGAAUCUAGGAAUUCUUAUCAAAUCGAAAGGUCUGGAGAUAAGUCAGAUUGAAGAUGCUGUUUACAAUUGUGAGUCUAAUAUACCUCUUGAUGUUCUGGAGGCUAUCAAGGAAGCUCAGGGAACUAAAGAGGAGUUAGAGGCUAUUAAAGGCUAUCUUGAGUCGGGAGACGAAGCUCCUCUAGAUAAACCUGAUAGGUUUUUACUGGAUCUAGAUGGAAUAUCUUUCUUUGCAGAUCGACUGACUUGUCUCACCUUUCAAUCUAAAUUUGUUGACAGUAUAUCUGAUAUAGAGAACCGCCUGAAUAAUAUCAAGUCAGUCUGUGAAUUUCUGAUGCAUAAUGAAUAUUUGCAGCAAAUGCUUGGAGUUAUUCUUGCUUGUGGAAACUAUUUAAAUGGCGGCAAUAAGCAGAGAGGUCAGGCGGAUGGUUUUAACAUUGAUAUUCUUCCAAAACUCAAGGAUCUGAAGAGUAAAGAUAACUCCACCAAUCUUCUAGCCUACAUCAUACAGACCUGUAUAUCUAGGUUUGAUGAGAAGAAAGGAACACCAGAGGCUAUUUUACCAGUUCCUGAGCCCAGUGAUGUAGAAAAAUGUAUCCAUAUAGAUUUUGAAGCUCAAAGGGCAGAGACGGAAAAAAUUAGAAAGGAGUUGGAUAUGGUUCUUCAUAAAACAGAUCAGAUUGUUGAGAAGAGUAAAGAAGAGUUGAAGGAACCUUUCAAAACCAAGAUGACCGAGUUUUUAACUAAAGCAGAGAAAGAUAUGAUUGAUCUUGUGGAACUUCUGGAAGAAGUCAUUAAACAGUUCAGAGAAUGUAUGAUCUUCUUCAAAUUCAUGCCUAAAAAGGGUAAACUGGAAGAUGCCAAGCCGGAGGAUUUUUUCGUGAUUUGGUUUCCCUUCACAGAGGAUUGUAAAAAUCUUUGGAAGAAAGAACAGAUACGCGUGACGAAGGAAUUGAUCAAGAUGGCCAGAAAGAAACAUUUGGAACAUAAAGAGAGUUUAAUGAACCUAGAAACUAAGAAAACGGCUACUGGAGGUCUAAAGACUAAACUUCAGGCAAGAAAGUCUCGAAGAUCAAUGGCUUCACCCAGGCCUACUGAAGAGAAGGAUAUGGGGUCUGAUGACUUCAUGAAUUAAAAAAGUUCGCUCAAAUCCGAGUUUUCGCGCAUUUAUUCAAAUUUUUGUAUUUUAGCAGCAUUUAACUAGUUAACAAGAAUACUCGUUCAUUAUACUUACUCAAUGUUUUAAAACUUUUUAAAGUUUUAAAUUAUGUUAAAGACAUUCUCAGAUAAAUAGAUUUUUAUUUUCGACAAUUUUGGCCAUCUCCAACUCGCAUCCCCCACCCCCUUGGCUAUAGUUUAACACGGAAAAAGGGUCAUAAGUCCCUAUUUUUGACCUUUAGUCCUGGCUUGUCCCUCAGUUUUUUUAUUUUUCAACCCUAAUAUUGUUUCAGUCCAUUGCUCUUUUCACAUUUAAUAAGAAUAAGCAAAUUGGCAUAUAUAUUCGCACAAUAAUGAUAUAGCAUGCACCAAACAGAUUGCACAAGGAAUUUUUGUCUGUCCCUUCCGCACAUUUUUGAAUGAAGUGAAAGUAAAGUGUUGUCAGUAAUCCUAAUUUAUAUUGUAUCUAACAGGGAUGUAUAUUUUCUCAAUGAUUCCCCCCCUCUCCCCCGAAAAAUGAAACUUUGGGGGGAGGGGAAUGAAUUUUAGCUUAAUUGUCAAAAGUACGUUAUUUCUGGCUGAAAAUAGAAAUUAUUGAAAAAAUCAUAAGAAGGGGUUAAAACUUGCCAGUCUAUUUUUCUUAUUUCGUUUUUCACCCCUAGUAGUUAUGCAAUGUUUUCCCCAGUGCAGUGUAGGGAAGGGGGGAGGGUAAUUUUUUCAAAUCUCUAUCCUCGUACUAAAAUUUAUCUAUCUCGCCCCUAACCAGUAACCAGUGCCUUAUGUAUAAUCAGAAUUUUCAAAAACAUUCCUUGAUAUUUUAUCAAUUCCUUUUAUAAUUGUGAUAUUUGAACCAAAUUUUAUCCUGGAUAUUACCUUAUUAUAUAUUAACUUAAUUAUAUUCUACGCGUUAACUUAAAUCAAUAAAAAUUAUGCUUCA